CCUACGGGAGGCAGCAGUAGGGAAUCUUCCGCAAUGGACGAAAGUCUGACGGAGCAACGCCGCGUGAGUGAAGAAGGUUUUCGGAUCGUAAAACUCCGUUGUCAGGGAAGAACAAGUACGGGAGUAACUGCCCGUACCUUGACGGUACCUGGCCAGAAAGCCACGGCUAACUACGUGCCAGCAGCCGCGGUAAUACGUAGGUGGCAAGCGUUGUCCGGAAUUAUUGGGCGUAAAGCGCGCGCAGGCGGCCUUUUAAGUCUGAUGUGAAAGCCCCCGGCUCAACCGGGGAGGUCAUUGGAAACUGGAAGGCUUGAGUGCAGAAGAGAAGAGCGGAAUUCCACGUGUAGCGGUGAAAUGCGUAGAGAUGUGGAGGAACACCAGUGGCGAAGGCGGCUCUUUGGUCUGUAACUGACGCUGAGGCGCGAAAGCGUGGGGAGCAAACAGGAUUAGAUACCCUGGUAGUCCACGCCGUAAACGAUGAGUGCUAAGUGUUGGGGGUUUCCGCCCUCAGUGCUGCAGCUAACGCAUUAAGCACUCCGCCUGGGGAGUACGGCCGCAAGGCUGAACUUAAGGAAUUGACGG
RNAcentral lists this ribosomal RNA (582 nucleotides) under uncultured bacterium. RNAcentral's name for it is "bacterial SSU rRNA". It matches the Rfam family "Bacterial small subunit ribosomal RNA", at positions 338 to 916 of the family's 1533-position model. The record is from RNAcentral.